RNAcentral lists this non-coding RNA (26 nucleotides) under Rattus norvegicus (Norway rat). Lineage: Eukaryota; Metazoa; Chordata; Mammalia; Rodentia; Muridae. The record is from RNAcentral.
UGACCGCCGUAAACGGUAGACAAGUG